AAGGCCCGGCUGACUCAUCUCCACAAGAGAGGCUGUGACUUCAUCUGCUCAUCUGGCAAAGGGAUCAUAAUGGCAACAACAGGCCUGUGAUCCCCUAGCCACAGCCUGAAAUUCACUCACAUUCAUGAAGCUCUGAAAACGGAAGGUUUUUCAAAACUGGUCAACAGUGGAACCUGAUUCAAAUGGGGGAGGAAAAACUGUCAUACACUGAAGGAGAUAUAAAAGCUGAAUCAACUAAAUACAGUGUGGACGUUGUCUGAAAUCUAAUUUGAAGAAUCUAAAGAACAGAACGGCAUUUUGAGACAAUCAUGGAACAUUAAACAUGAAAGAGGGAUUACACAAAAAUGUAUAAGACAUGUGAAAAAUAAUGCUUAAUAUUUUAUGAAGCUGGAACAGACACCUCAAGACACCCGUGACCUCAGUUCAAGACUUGCUACUCUUCUCAGAGCAAAAGUAUGUCCUGACAGAAAUCUUCAUCUGGGCCUUCCUGCUCAUUUUGGGUGCUGGAGUCCAGGCACUCUUGAACCUCUAAAAACACAACGAGGAGGAGACUGAGACAUUGAAAUUGUAAGCUACUUGCUCAGGGACCCAGGGAGAAGGAGCCAAGGGGGCGAGAAACUAGGUACUAACAGAAGGAUAGUCCUGUGGUUCCUGGUGUGCUAUCUGUACAUGUGAUCAUUUUUCUCCUACUCAAGAAAACACACCAGAAUGCAAGUCAGUGAAUUUCUGUAAAGAGAUCAUCUUGAAUCUGCUUCCAUUCAUUAAAAAAUUUAUCAGCAUUGA
Molecule: long non-coding RNA, 783 nt
Organism: Felis catus (domestic cat)
Lineage: Eukaryota; Metazoa; Chordata; Mammalia; Carnivora; Felidae
Exons: 5
Source: RefSeq, a predicted model, not a curated record